ACUCCUACGGAGGCAGCAGUGGGGAAUUUUGGACAAUGGGCGAAAGCCUGAUCCAGCAAUGCCGCGUGAGUGAAGAAGGCCUUCGGGUUGUAAAGCUCUUUUGUCAGGGAAGAAACGGUGAAAGCUAAUAUCUUUUGCUAAUGACGGUACCUGAAGAAUAAGCACCGGCUAACUACGUGCCAGCAGCCGCGGUAAUACGUAGGGUGCAAGCGUUAAUCGGAAUUACUGGGCGUAAAGCGUGCGCAGGCGGUUUUGUAAGUCUGAUGUGAAAUCCCCGGGCUCAACCUGGGAAUUGCAUUGGAGACUGCAAGGCUAGAAUCUGGCAGAGGGGGGUAGAAUUCCACGUGUAGCAGUGAAAUGCGUAGAUAUGUGGAGGAACACCGAUGGCGAAGGCAGCCCCCUGGGUCAAGAUUGACGCUCAUGCACGAAAGCGUGGGGAGCAAACAGGAUUAGAUACCCUGGUAGUCCCAUG
RNAcentral lists this ribosomal RNA (472 nucleotides) under uncultured organism. RNAcentral describes it as "partial 16S ribosomal RNA". It matches the Rfam family "Bacterial small subunit ribosomal RNA", at positions 335 to 799 of the family's 1533-position model. The record is from RNAcentral.